GUGCUCGCUUUGGCAGCACAUAUACUAAAAUUGGAACGAUACAGAGAAGAUUAGCAUGGUGCCGAACGUCUGAGAUUCAAGACAUACACAUCCAGCCAAGCUGU
Molecule: small nuclear RNA, 104 nt
Organism: Neomonachus schauinslandi (Hawaiian monk seal)
Lineage: Eukaryota; Metazoa; Chordata; Mammalia; Carnivora; Phocidae
Source: RefSeq, a predicted model, not a curated record